This 49-nucleotide ribosomal RNA is filed under the name Paenibacillus polymyxa. Its description in RNAcentral is "partial 23S ribosomal RNA". Lineage: Bacteria; Bacillati; Bacillota; Bacilli; Caryophanales; Paenibacillaceae. The record is from RNAcentral.
CAGUAAUGCAUGGAGCUGACCAAUACUAAUCGGUCGAGGGCUUAUCCUA